RNAcentral lists this ribosomal RNA (457 nucleotides) under Pantoea agglomerans. RNAcentral describes it as "bacterial SSU rRNA". It matches the Rfam family "Bacterial small subunit ribosomal RNA", at positions 1 to 454 of the family's 1533-position model. Lineage: Bacteria; Pseudomonadati; Pseudomonadota; Gammaproteobacteria; Enterobacterales; Erwiniaceae. The record is from RNAcentral. RNAcentral also lists the same sequence under 2 other names.
AAAUUGAAGAGUUUGAUCAUGGCUCAGAUUGAACGCUGGCGGCAGGCCUAACACAUGCAAGUCGGACGGUAGCACAGAGGAGCUUGCUCCUUGGGUGACGAGUGGCGGACGGGUGAGUAAUGUCUGGGGAUCUGCCCGAUAGAGGGGGAUAACCACUGGAAACGGUGGCUAAUACCGCAUAACGUCGCAAGACCAAAGAGGGGGACCUUCGGGCCUCUCACUAUCGGAUGAACCCAGAUGGGAUUAGCUAGUAGGCGGGGUAAUGGCCCACCUAGGCGACGAUCCCUAGCUGGUCUGAGAGGAUGACCAGCCACACUGGAACUGAGACACGGUCCAGACUCCUACGGGAGGCAGCAGUGGGGAAUAUUGCACAAUGGGCGCAAGCCUGAUGCAGCCAUGCCGCGUGUAUGAAGAAGGCCUUCGGGUUGUAAAGUACUUUCAGCGGGGAGGAAGGCGA